Molecule: ribosomal RNA, 960 nt
Filed under: Triticum aestivum (bread wheat)
Lineage: Eukaryota; Viridiplantae; Streptophyta; Magnoliopsida; Poales; Poaceae
Description: partial small subunit ribosomal RNA
Source: RNAcentral
AUGGAUCGGUACCAGAGGGUGGAGAAGCCGCGGGAGGAGGUGCCCAUCAAGGAGAACGAGAUCCGCAUCACCACCCAGGGCAGGAUGCGCAACUACAUCACCUACGCCACCACCCUCUUCCAGGAUAAGGGUUGCGAUGAAGUUGUAUUCAAGGCGAUGGGAAGGGCCAUAAACAAAACUGUGAUGAUUGCAGAAUUGAUCAAGAGGAGAAUUGUGGGUCUCCAUCAAAACACUGCCACUGAAUCCACUGAUAUUACUGACACAUGGGAGCCACUGGAGGAAGGCCUACUUCCGCUUGAGACAACAAGGCAUGUGUCUAUGAUUACUAUAACUCUUUCAAAGAAGGAGCUGGACACGUCAUCUGUCGGAUACCAAUCUCCUCUGCCUGCUGACAAGGUGAAGCCGUUUGUUGAAUACGAGAAUGAAGAAGAUGCGCACUCACCUCCUGGGCGAGGAAGAGGCCGUGGCCGAGGCCGUGGAAGGGGAAUGGGAAGGGGUAGAGAUGCACGUGGGAAUGGAUACAUGGAGUAUGCUGAUGGUGGAUGGGAAAAUGAGCAUGCUCCUACCUAUGCAGGCAAUGGGUAUGCUGACCAUGGUCCAGCUUAUGAGGGUAAUGGGUAUGCUCGUGGUAGAGGCCGUGGUUUCAGGGGCCGUGGCAGAAGAGGUGGCUAUGGUGGUCAGCCUGAUUAUCAGCAUGAUGGAGGGUAUUAUGAUGAGGCACCAGCGCCACCCCGAGGUGGGGGCCGUGGUUUCAGGGGGCGUGGCAGGAGAGGCGGCUAUGGUGGUGGCCAGCCUGAUUAUCAGCAAGACGGAGGUUAUUACGAGGAGGCUCCUUUUCCUGCACCAGCUGGAGGUCGUGGUCGAGGCCGUGGCCGUGGGAGAGGCGGCCCAGCUCGGGGCAGAGGGCGCGGUGGCAAUGCCAAUGGCAACAUGGUGUAUGCCGCCGCUUCGGGCGCAUAA